GAAGGAGUUGCAUGGUGCUGGCCUCGCUCAGGAUGUCUUUAAGUUGGAGUUUCAACUCUCCUGGAAAGAGGAAAAUGGCCAUAAGAAUUUUUUCCUUGACAAUACUGGGAAUUGAUUAAAGAAGAAGAGGAAAACUGGAGAUAAAAUGGAGCAAGAGGGAAGAAAAAAAGAUCAGAGAGAAGAUGAGGGAAAAGGAAGAAGUAAGAAAGGAAAUGGAAAGGGCAUAUGGUGAGGAAAAUAGGAAAGAAAGGGAGGAGAAAAAAGUGAAGAAGACAAGAGACAUGAGGAAUACAAGAAGAAGAAAACAGAAGAGAAGUAGAGAAAAGGAGCUGAGAAUCUGGAGAGAAGUACAAAUGAAAAGAUAAAGAAAAAGAAAAAGAAAAGUGGCUAAAUGGAAGAAAGGAAAUGUAAAUGUAGUCCUUUGUAACUGAAUGACCACCAGAUGCCUAGAGAAAAAUCUCAAGUAUCAUUAGUAUUCCA
RNAcentral lists this long non-coding RNA (480 nucleotides) under Homo sapiens (human). RNAcentral's name for it is "HSALNT0283257". The record is from RNAcentral. Lineage: Eukaryota; Metazoa; Chordata; Mammalia; Primates; Hominidae.